Molecule: ribosomal RNA, 566 nt
Filed under: uncultured bacterium
Lineage: Bacteria
Description: partial 16S ribosomal RNA
Rfam family: Bacterial small subunit ribosomal RNA
Source: RNAcentral
UGGGGAAUUUUGGACAAUGGGCGAAAGCCUGAUCCAGCAAUGCCGCGUGAGUGAAGAAGGCCUUCGGGUUGUAAAGCUCUUUUGUCAGGGAAGAAACGGUGAAAGCUAAUAUCUUUUGCUAAUGACGGUACCUGAAGAAUAAGCACCGGCUAACUACGUGCCAGCAGCCGCGGUAAUACGUAGGGUGCAAGCGUUAAUCGGAAUUACUGGGCGUAAAGCGUGCGCAGGCGGUUUUGUAAGUCUGAUGUGAAAUCCCCGGGCUCAACCUGGGAAUUGCAUUGGAGACUGCAAGGCUAGAAUCUGGCAGAGGGGGGUAGAAUUCCACGUGUAGCAGUGAAAUGCGUAGAUAUGUGGAGGAGCACCGAUGGCGAAGGCAGCCCCCUGGGUCGAGAUUGACGCUCAUGCACGAAAGCGUGGGGAGCAAACAGGAUUAGAUACCCUGGUAGUCCACGCCCUAAACGAUGUCUACUAGUUGUCGGGUCUUAAUUGACUUGGUAACGCAGCUAACGCGUGAAGUAGGCCGCCUGGGGAGUACGGUCGCAAGAUUAAAACUCAAAUGAAUUGAC